CCUAACACAUGCAAGUCGAACGGGACCUUCGGGUCUAGUGGCGCACGGGUGCGUAACGCGUGGGAACCUGCCCUUAGGUUCGGAAUAACAGUUAGAAAUGACUGCUAAUACCGGAUAAUGUCUUCGGACCAAAGAUUUAUCGCCUUUGGAUGGGCCCGCGUAGGAUUAGCUAGUUGGUGGGGUAAAGGCCUACCAAGGCGACGAUCCUUAGCUGGUCUGAGAGGAUGAUCAGCCACACUGGGACUGAGACACGGCCCAGACUCCUACGGGAGGCAGCAGUGGGGAAUUUUGGACAAUGGGCGAAAGCCUGAUCCAGCAAUGCCCCCUGAGUGAUGAAGGCCUUAGGGUUGUAAAGCUCUUU
Molecule: ribosomal RNA, 361 nt
Filed under: uncultured bacterium
Lineage: Bacteria
Description: bacterial SSU rRNA
Rfam family: Bacterial small subunit ribosomal RNA
Source: RNAcentral